This 1655-nucleotide long non-coding RNA is filed under the name Venturia canescens. RNAcentral's name for it is "uncharacterized LOC122419146". Lineage: Eukaryota; Metazoa; Arthropoda; Insecta; Hymenoptera; Ichneumonidae. The record is from RNAcentral.
UACAUAACCGAGGGGCUGAGUUUUCGUAUUGCGGAAGGGAAAACGUGGGGAUGUCACCGGUCUGCGAUAUGAGACUGUCGCCUUCGCGUUCGUGUGAUAACGCGCGCACACACACACACACAUUGAUAGAAUACUUCAUAAUACUCUCUUUACAUACUUUCCACCCUCGGCCACGUGUGCAAUGCGUUCUCAUCGGAGCUCAUUGACCUCGUACGCGCAAGUCCGAGUAUAAAUGAUCGCGCCGUAUGCUCGUAUUUAAUAUUUAUUACCAUAAACAUUACAUUGAUAUGCACUUUCUUUGAAAAUAUGAAUAAUUCGAUCGAGGAAUCGUCGAAAAUGUUACAAAAAUCAGAAUCUAAAAGAAGGUCUGCGAGAUCAAUUCUGUUGAGAUUGUUUCCCAAGUUUUAUCGUACUCUUUUUUUCACGAGCUUUUCGUGGGAAUGUUGACAGCUCAGUCGUACACCACCGGCUCACGCAUCGGUCGCUAAGCGCUGCGCACUUUUUCCGAGUUUCCGGCGAUAAUUUCAAUAACUAAACACGAAACACGGGAAGUCUAACAAAUUCGCCAUUUCUCAUUCGACCGCCCUCUGCGCGUGAAUGCGAGACGCUAGACCGUUUCAAAGUGGUUUAGUCGUGGACGGCUCGGCUCUCAUGAGGUUCCACAAGACAAAAAAGGAGGUUCGCAAGGCCGGUAUUGAUCGUCUCUGCUGGUUGGGGAUGUGUGUAUGUAUCCUGGGUCGCGUGCGCGAUCCUGGGAACUCCGGGCACGGUUUAUACCCACGGGAACCGAUCUCCAAGCCAACCCUUGGCAAUAUAACGACAAGGACGACGAAGAGGAACGACUAACACCAAGACCCCCCUCUGACAUCUAGUGUUCUAUCCACCACCAUAGCUACACUACUGCUAACUCUCCCUUUUUCCUUGCCCUCUCUCGGUACACUCGUGCUUACCACCCUGCCCACUCUUGCAUCCACUUCGCAUUCACAAGAGCCUCAAGAUGCGAAAUUUUGGGACGGCUCGAGAACCCUCUUCUGUCUCCAACUGUCAGUCUCUCUCUCUCUCUCUCUCUCCCUUCCCUUUUCUCUGCUGUCCACGUCUGUCUCUCUGUUUGUUUGCUCUUUCUAUUUGUCCAUCUGUCUAUACUCUCUACGCAAAAAAAUCUGACUUUUAGUAUCGCCGAGAAAAAUCGUCCCUUGAUUUAACAAAAUCAUUGACACUAAUUCGUCAUCUACGAUGAGUGCAUGUGUUCUCCGGGAACAACUGAAAAUACUAUUGUAUGCUAAAUCUUUUCGUUCCUCUUUUCUCUACGAGAUUAACCGUUGAUUCGAUAUCGCGGACAAAAGUGGUUCUUUUGAUUCAAUAUAAUCGUAAAAAAAAUUCGGUUCCCACGGUUAUUUAUCGUAGGAAACUAAUAAUUGGGAUCGGUGAUGUCUUUAGUCAGAUUUAGAGUGGUUGAAAGUUCUGAAAAUAAAAGAUAAAAAUAAUACUUCGAUUAUGUUACUCGAUCGUUUAGGAGCCAGUGGAUUUAACGAUAUUUCUGUUGAAAAAAAUUUAAAUGGUUAUGCACCGUUUGUGUUCAUCAUAAAAUAUUAAUAUGUUCGUUUAAUUAUCAUGCUCGAUACCGAAAUAAAUAAAAAGUAUCCUUGCAAUAAUCA